AGGGGUUGGAAGAGACCUUUAGAACAGCUGGUAGUUAUGCCAACCGGGUGUCUGCACUAAGUUCGGCAUCAGUAUGGUGACUUCCUGGGAGCAGGGGGCCACCAGGUUGCCUAAAGAUGAGUGAACGGGCCCAGAUCAGAAAGGGAGCAGGUCAGGACUCCUGCACUGACUGGUAGUGGGACUGUGCCUGGGCAAUAUAGCAAGAUCUUGGUUCUU
This 216-nucleotide small RNA is filed under the name Gorilla gorilla gorilla (western lowland gorilla). RNAcentral describes it as "Metazoan signal recognition particle RNA (ENSGGOG00000043916.1)". The stretch from base 38 to 194 matches the Rfam family "Metazoan signal recognition particle RNA", at positions 96 to 252 of the family's 299-position model. From Rfam's summary of the family: The signal recognition particle (SRP) is a universally conserved ribonucleoprotein. It is involved in the co-translational targeting of proteins to membranes. Lineage: Eukaryota; Metazoa; Chordata; Mammalia; Primates; Hominidae. The record is from RNAcentral.